AUUAAAACUAUUAAAACUUUAUAUUCAAUAAUGAUAUUAGACUGCAAUUCUGAAGGAAUAAUUUUUAAUUAUUAAAGUUU
This 80-nucleotide transfer RNA is filed under the name Aedes japonicus. RNAcentral's name for it is "tRNA-Cys". The record is from RNAcentral. Lineage: Eukaryota; Metazoa; Arthropoda; Insecta; Diptera; Culicidae.